GCCCCACUAAAUUGAAUGACGGAUUACUGGCUAUCAAGCUGACCAACUUUUGUUCCAGAAUGAGAACUCAAGCAGCAGUAUGUUUGGAGAAUGGCUCCCUUUAACUUGAUUUUUCCAUUGCCAGUUGCGCCACAAGCAAAGCUAAGAUCCAAUCACCAUUAACUAAGAUUAUAUGAAUUCUGGAAGCAGUGGUAUCAUUGGCUCAUUAUACCUUACAUAUCUUUCUCUGAAACAAGAAGAAUGAAAUAAUAUGUAUUGAAGCAAAGCAGCCAAAUUUCCUCGAUCAUUGCCCAAAAAAGUUAAAAGUGGAAGCAAAGUCUUGCUGUUAGGUUCAGUCUCCUAGGGGAAAGCUCAUCACCUUAAUUAAUCUUUAGAGCAGUGAGCAUCUGUACCAUGCUGGGUGCAAUGAUGAUAACCCACAGUUUGGAGGAAAUCACGAAUUUCUUUAGCACUGCUGUUGCUGGCUUGCAGCAACCGCUCAUCUUCCUCAUAGAUUAGGUAUGGAGCUUCACCUUUCUUUCUUGACAGUAACUUUGAGGCUCCUUUUAAUACAUGAUAUUCCCAUCCCUGAACAUCAAUUUUGAGUAGAAGCACAGGCUCUGACUCUGGAAUCAGUUCAUCAAGAGGAAUGGUCCUUACUUGAACUGCUAUUUCUUCAUUGGACUUGAAUGCCAGCUUUGCACCAGUGGCUGACACCGCACUAUUGUCAAGCCGGCCAACCAGCUUAUAAAAAGUGAUAUUCCCAAUCCGAUCAGACACAGCAGCUUCAAAAACAGUAACCAAGUCCCCAACUCGAUUAAACCAAAUCCCAUCACAAAUCCUCUGCAAAUUCUCAAUAACUGGCUCAAAAGCUAACACUCUAUAUCCCAUAACGGCAGCCGCAAAACUAGCCAUUCCUACAUUAGCGCCCACAUCCACCACCAACCCAUCUCUCCCCUUUGUCCCUUCCAACAGCUCCUGAAUCGUCGCGGAGAUGUCCGGCUUCCUAAAGGGCUUUCCUUUUAACAACCUCACAAUGUUCUUGUGAGGUUUAUCGGGCAAGGAUCCAAAAUCGGAGAGAGAGUAUAAAAAUGGGUACUUGAGGUUCUCUACUAUGUUGGCAACUACUGGGUGGGCUUGCGGGGAUUUUAAGCAAUCGAAGGGAGGGAUUGGAUAAACAGAUGCUUGUGUUUGCGAUAUUAUUUUUGAGACAGAGAGAGAGGGGCUAAGAUUUGAUGGUGAGCGAGAGAAGAAGAAGAAUAAGAAGAACACAAGAGAGAGGGUAAGGAGGAGAAGGAGAAGGGGCUUGGGCGAGAGAAGUUUUGGGCGUUUGUUCUCUUUUUUUCCAUUCCAGGCAUUCGCCAUGGAAAAUAUGGAGCGGUUUGAGAGAAAGACGUGGAAUUUCUCGAGAAAACUCUGAUGUUUUUCCUGGAAAAUUAU
RNAcentral lists this unclassified non-coding RNA (1419 nucleotides) under Hevea brasiliensis (rubber tree). The record is from RNAcentral. Lineage: Eukaryota; Viridiplantae; Streptophyta; Magnoliopsida; Malpighiales; Euphorbiaceae.